Molecule: ribosomal RNA, 2929 nt
Filed under: Bacillus velezensis
Lineage: Bacteria; Bacillati; Bacillota; Bacilli; Caryophanales; Bacillaceae
Description: 23S ribosomal RNA
Rfam family: Bacterial large subunit ribosomal RNA
Source: RNAcentral
GGUUAAGUUAGAAAGGGCGCACGGUGGAUGCCUUGGCACUAGGAGCCGAUGAAGGACGGGACGAACACCGAUAUGCUUCGGGGAGCUGUAAGCAAGCUUUGAUCCGGAGAUUUCCGAAUGGGGAAACCCACCACUCGUAAUGGAGUGGUAUCCAUAUCUGAAUACAUAGGAUAUGAGAAGGCAGACCCGGGGAACUGAAACAUCUAAGUACCCGGAGGAAGAGAAAGCAAAUGCGAUUCCCUGAGUAGCGGCGAGCGAAACGGGACCAGCCCAAACCAAGAGGCUUGCCUCUUGGGGUUGUAGGACACUCUGUACGGAGUUACAAAGGAACGAGGUAGAUGAAGAGGUCUGGAAAGGCCCGCCAUAGGAGGUAACAGCCCUGUAGUCAAAACUUCGUUCUCUCCUGAGUGGAUCCUGAGUACGGCGGAACACGUGAAAUUCCGUCGGAAUCCGGGAGGACCAUCUCCCAAGGCUAAAUACUCCCUAGUGACCGAUAGUGAACCAGUACCGUGAGGGAAAGGUGAAAAGCACCCCGGAAGGGGAGUGAAAGAGAUCCUGAAACCGUGUGCCUACAAGUAGUCAGAGCCCGUUAACGGGUGAUGGCGUGCCUUUUGUAGAAUGAACCGGCGAGUUACGAUCCCGUGCAAGGUUAAGCAGAAGAUGCGGAGCCGCAGCGAAAGCGAGUCUGAAUAGGGCGAAUUGAGUACGUGGUCGUAGACCCGAAACCAGGUGAUCUACCCAUGUCCAGGGUGAAGUUCAGGUAACACUGAAUGGAGGCCCGAACCCACGCACGUUGAAAAGUGCGGGGAUGAGGUGUGGGUAGGGGUGAAAUGCCAAUCGAACCUGGAGAUAGCUGGUUCUCUCCGAAAUAGCUUUAGGGCUAGCCUCAAGGUAAGAGUCUCGGAGGUAGAGCACUGAUUGGACUAGGGGCCCCUACCGGGUUACCGAAUUCAGUCAAACUCCGAAUGCCGAUGACUUAUCCUUGGGAGUCAGACUGCGAGUGAUAAGAUCCGUAGUCGAAAGGGAAACAGCCCAGACCGCCAGCUAAGGUCCCAAAGUAUACGUUAAGUGGAAAAGGAUGUGGAGUUGCUUAGACAACCAGGAUGUUGGCUUAGAAGCAGCCACCAUUUAAAGAGUGCGUAAUAGCUCACUGGUCGAGUGACUCUGCGCCGAAAAUGUACCGGGGCUAAACGUAUCACCGAAGCUGCGGACUGUUCUUCGAACAGUGGUAGGAGAGCGUUCUAAGGGCUGUGAAGCAAGACCGGAAGGACUUGUGGAGCGCUUAGAAGUGAGAAUGCCGGUAUGAGUAGCGAAAGAGGGGUGAGAAUCCCCUCCACCGAAUGCCUAAGGUUUCCUGAGGAAGGCUCGUCCGCUCAGGGUUAGUCGGGACCUAAGCCGAGGCCGAAAGGCGUAGGCGAUGGAUAACAGGUUGAUAUUCCUGUACCACCUCCUCACCAUUUGAGCAAUGGGGGGACGCAGGAGGAUAGGGUAAGCGCGGUAUUGGAUAUCCGCGUCCAAGCAGUUAGGCUGGGAAAUAGGCAAAUCCGUUUCCCGUGAAGGCUAGCUGUGAUGGCGAGCGAAUUAUAGUAGCGAAGUUCCUGAUUCCACACUGCCAAGAAAAGCCUCUAGCGAGGUGAGAGGUGCCCGUACCGCAAACCGACACAGGUAGGCGAGGAGAGAAUCCUAAGGUGAUCGAGAGAACUCUCGUUAAGGAACUCGGCAAAAUGACCCCGUAACUUCGGGAGAAGGGGUGCUCUGUUAGGGUGCAAGCCCGAGAGAGCCGCAGUGAAUAGGCCCAGGCGACUGUUUAGCAAAAACACAGGUCUCUGCGAAGCCGUAAGGCGAAGUAUAGGGGCUGACGCCUGCCCGGUGCUGGAAGGUUAAGAGGAGCGCUUAGCGUAAGCGAAGGUGCGAAUUGAAGCCCCAGUAAACGGCGGCCGUAACUAUAACGGUCCUAAGGUAGCGAAAUUCCUUGUCGGGUAAGUUCCGACCCGCACGAAAGGCGCAACGAUCUGGGCACUGUCUCAACGAGAGACUCGGUGAAAUUAUAGUACCUGUGAAGAUGCAGGUUACCCGCGACAGGACGGAAAGACCCCGUGGAGCUUUACUGCAGCCUGAUAUUGAAUGUUGGUACAGCUUGUACAGGAUAGGUAGGAGCCUUGGAAACCGGAGCGCCAGCUUCGGUGGAGGCAUCGGUGGGAUACUACCCUGGCUGUAUUGACCUUCUAACCCGCCGCCCUUAUCGGGCGGGGAGACAGUGUCAGGUGGGCAGUUUGACUGGGGCGGUCGCCUCCUAAAAGGUAACGGAGGCGCCCAAAGGUUCCCUCAGAAUGGUUGGAAAUCAUUCGCAGAGUGUAAAGGCACAAGGGAGCUUGACUGCGAGACCUACAAGUCGAGCAGGGACGAAAGUCGGGCUUAGUGAUCCGGUGGUUCCGCAUGGAAGGGCCAUCGCUCAACGGAUAAAAGCUACCCCGGGGAUAACAGGCUUAUCUCCCCCAAGAGUCCACAUCGACGGGGAGGUUUGGCACCUCGAUGUCGGCUCAUCGCAUCCUGGGGCUGUAGUCGGUCCCAAGGGUUGGGCUGUUCGCCCAUUAAAGCGGUACGCGAGCUGGGUUCAGAACGUCGUGAGACAGUUCGGUCCCUAUCCGUCGCGGGCGCAGGAAAUUUGAGAGGAGCUGUCCUUAGUACGAGAGGACCGGGAUGGACGCACCGCUGGUGUACCAGUUGUUCUGCCAAGGGCAUCGCUGGGUAGCUAUGUGCGGACGGGAUAAGUGCUGAAAGCAUCUAAGCAUGAAGCCCCCCUCAAGAUGAGAUUUCCCAUUCCGCAAGGAAGUAAGAUCCCUGAAAGAUGAUCAGGUUGAUAGGUCUGAGGUGGAAGUGUGGCGACACAUGGAGCUGACAGAUACUAAUCGAUCGAGGACUUAACCAA